GGAUGUGAGGGUGAUCUGGCUGCGACAUCUGUCACCCCAUUGAUCGCCAGGGUUGAUUUGGCUGAUCUGGCUGGCUAGGCGGGUGUCCCCUUCCUUUUUCACCACUCCAUGUAUGUCCUUCCCAAAGCUGCACUUGGUCGAAAAGGACGGCCUUCCCGAAUAGAAUUGGUUUUUGGUCGAGGGUAUACAAGUAGCUACGCUCCCCUGCUAGAACCUCCAAACAAGCUCUCGAGAGAUAGACAGAGUAAGGUCUGAUGGGCCCUAUGUGUAGGAGCUCCUACCUAUUUCUGUGGAAUUAGGGGU
Erinaceus europaeus (western European hedgehog) is the source of this 303-nucleotide unclassified non-coding RNA. Its record names the gene 7SK. It matches the Rfam family "7SK RNA". From Rfam's summary of the family: 7SK was discovered as an abundant small nuclear RNA in the mid-70s but a possible function has only recently been suggested. Lineage: Eukaryota; Metazoa; Chordata; Mammalia; Eulipotyphla; Erinaceidae. The record is from Ensembl.